Molecule: ribosomal RNA, 253 nt
Filed under: uncultured bacterium
Lineage: Bacteria
Description: partial 16S ribosomal RNA
Rfam family: Bacterial small subunit ribosomal RNA
Source: RNAcentral
UACGGAGGGUGCAAACGUUGCUCGGAAUCAUUGGGCGUAAAGCGCACGUAGGCGGCUCGCUAAGUCGGAUGUGAAAGCCCCGGGCUCAACCCGGGAAGUGCAUACGAAACUGGCGAACUUGAAUAUGGAAGAGGGUCGCGGAAUUCCCGGUGUAGAGGUGAAAUUCGUAGAUAUCGGGAGGAACACCAGUGGCGAAGGCGGCGACCUGGGCCAAUAUUGACGCUGAGGCGCGAAAGCCAGGGGAGCAAACGGG